CCGCGGGCGUUCCCGUGCCCUAAGCGGUGGCUGUUAUCCCAGCGGCGUUUCCUCGGCGGACGGCGGCUGUCUUCCUCUCCAUCAGCGAACAGCGGAAGCAAUGGCGGUGUCUUCCUCCGGCUAGUUCUUGUCGCUGCAGCGUUUUCCUCGGUGAACGGCGGCUGCUGCGUCUUUCUCUCCAUCUGUGUAACGGCAGAGGCGGCGUCUCUGCCCCCCGUCAGUUGAGUAUGGAAUUGCAGCGGGCUGUUCAUGACUGACUACGAUGGAAUCGGGUCUCUGAGAACUCAGGGGCUUACUAGUGGAAAGUGGAUAGACGCAGACGAUGGCAUGACCAUUCAGGCAUCAAGUGCCAGGAAAAUCAGGUGUUUGUGAUGAUUUAGGUGUACACUAUGUCUUGCAAGAAGCUGUUGGAGGAAGUGGAUCUUGAUGACACUGGCUUGGUGACAAGUUCAUUCUUGAUGGUACAUCAAGACUCGAUCAUGGAUGAAAUAUGGGUUUGUUGGUUGUCUAAACAAAUCAAAUAUAUUGUUUAUCUAAGAAAAUACCAGUGGAUAGUGGGAUGUUUAAACAAAUCAAAUAUAUUGUUUAUCUAAGAAAAUAUAAGUGGAUAGUGGGAUGUUUAAACAAAUCAAAUAUAUUGUUCAUCUAAGAAAAUAUAUCAGUGGAUAGUGGGAAAGUAAUUGAAACAUUUAAACAUUUAAGGCUAGGUAAGGAAAGGAAUUUUGGGUGUCUCCAAAAUAUUUUAUCAUUGUUCCACUUAUGAACAGCAAGUGGCCACAUUUGGUGCACUUUCUGAAUUCACAUUAAUGACACAUUAGACUGUCAGAUGCUAUAAGAAUGAUAAUAUCACAAGGUUGAAUAGAGUUCCAAAUAGGAAUUCUAGUGAUUUUGCAGAAGUAUGUGGCUGCUGAUGCAUGCAUACGAUGUGCUUUAUAGGUUGACCACCCAAGCCAUCAUUGUAAGCUUGAAAUACCUCCAGUGUAAUGUAGGUAUUGUUGAAGCAUCUGAACAUGUUUUGGAUUUUAACUUAACUACAGGUUUUGUAAACUAAUUUUUGCAAUUUUGGGUUUCAAAUUAGGUUUUUUUUGCACAUAUGACUAACCAAGGUACACAGUAUCAUUUUCAUAUGAGUAAGUUAAGGUAUUUUACAACUGUUAGAGUCCUCUUAAACUGUUCUGGUUGUCUUGAUAAAGUGUGAUUGGUCAUUAAACACUACAAGAAAAGCAUUUUACUGAGAUUUAUGUUUCUAUUUUUCCAUCCUUAAAUUGCCUGUCUUGUAGUCCUCAUUGGUGCAUCUGACAUCUUUGACCCAUGUUCUAUUUGAGAUAUUGUGGUGCAACAUAGAAAGGUCAUACUGUUUAUCAUCUAGCUUUAUCGGUCAAAUGUGAAUGUACGAUGUGUAACGUGCAUCUCUUGUCAUAUCAUUGAUGAAGUGACUGCAUGGCACAGAAAUAGAGGCUAUCAAGCAUCUUUAUGUUCAAUUUUAAUGUUGGAAAUCUUUUCCAGACAUGAAAAUUUUCAAAAGUGAAUGUCAUUAUGCUAGAUAUAAAUGGUAGGAUAUAUCUCAAACCUUGAAAUGUCAUUGUGUCAUUCACUCCUCUAGAAAAGGUUCAGAUGAUCUCAAUUUUUUUAAAGCCAUUGGCUUUGAUCUGUCAAGGCUAAAGGCUAGUGAAGAUCAGUUAGCUUAAUCGUUUGGCCCAAAUAGUCAUCGAUAGCUUGGUAUAGAAAUAUUUUGAAGUUCAUUUGUAUUUAGGGAUUGCCCUUUUAUGAUUUUUUUUUACCAUACAAGUCUUCGGUUAGAUUAGUACAUACUAGUUGCAUGAAAUGGCACAAGCUAUAUGUUCCCUUGUGCAAUGUUGACUGAUUGGUAAGGAUGCACAAGCAGACCUUCAACGACUUAUACAUCCCAGAUAUAAGGCUCUGGUCAAGCUUGUUCUGACGCUCAAAACUGAAGUUUCAACUCUAAUCUUAUUUAGCGAGGAUCAUCGAAUUUUUCUCAAAGAGUGGGAUUACCAAGCAGUAAGGAGUUAUUUGAUGCUAAAUUGGAGAAGAAAACUUGCAGGAUUAUUGCUUGAGUUUAGGAAAGAUUCCCAAAAAGACAUUGCCACCAGUUGUCCAAAAGCCUGAUGGGAAGAAAAACUGGAUGGUUUGUGAUCCGGUUCCUAUAAACAACUUCUGCUGCUAAAUAGAUAUCUAGGUCUUUGUUUAUCUGUUAUAUCUCCUCUGACUACUCUAUGUUAUAUUUGAUAUUACUGAUUCUGAGGUAUCCAAUUUAGUUUAGUAUUUAAUUUUUAAGAAGAAUGGAGUGAGUUGCUCAAUAAAGCCCCAAUAAGUCACAUACGUUGUACCUGAUAUUGAAGACUUUGACCACACAGAUAUCUCUGAAUUUGUUCAGAAAGCUCAGGUCUUAGUAAGUGUCAGAAAAUUAGAACUCGGAGACAUUUUUAGUUAUUGGUUUCCCACAGGAUCCAUCGAUUCUGGAGUGUUCUUGGAUGGAGCUUUCAGAAAAUAAAAGGACAGUGACAGCUGAGGAAUUAGCUGUGGUACUUAUUUUGCAGAAUUAACUUUCCAUGCUUGAACACUGCUCAUCUUUCAUUUUCUUCAGAUUAUAUAUGGCAGCAAGGAAUAUCUUGAAAGCUACUGUUCCCUUCUCUUGUUGUCUAGAGAUGACAUAUAUUUUAGUGUGGUUGAUAGCAAGGGAUAUUGUUCUCUAUAUGAACGACGACCAAGUAUUAAGGGUCAUUAUGAGGAUUCUUUAGGAAAGAUUCUUUUGGUCAAUUUUCAGGCUGCCCAACCACUUCCUCAAUGGUGGCGACAGCGUGGUGGCUGAAUCCAUCGCAACCCUAGUUUUCAUGGACGAGGAGGAGGUGGGUUUUCUCUCGUUGCAUCGGUCUUCGAUAACGAUGGCAUGCUUUUGCUUGCUUCCAUCCUUAUUGUCAUUGUUCCAUCAUAAGUUCUUGAUCUUUGGUCCAAAGAUGGUUCUGUACGGUGAUUCUUUGAGAAAGAUUCUUUUGGUCUAUUUUCAUGACCGCCCCUUCCUCGACGGUGGCGAAAACCUAGCUGUAGAUUCCAUCGCCAGCUUAGCUUCCUUGGUAGAGGCUAAAAACAAAAGUGGCGAUCGACAAGGAGGGUUUUCUAUAGUUGCAUCGAUGGUGAUCGCAUGCUUUCGCUUGUUUCCUGUCCUAUGGUGGCCAUUCUAUCGCAGAUUCUUGAUCCUUGGUGCAGAGAAGUGUCGGUACAAGGAUUCUUUUGAAUAGAUUCUUUUGGCCACAGAUUUUCAUGGCGAGCUCUGCUGCCGCCUAGCUUGCAAUGAAGAUGGCAAUUGACGAGGAGGUUUUUUUUUCUCUCAUUAGGCCAGUGAUGCUUUUUCUUGCUUCCAGCCCUAUCAUGGCUGUUUGAUCGCAGAUUCUUGAUUUCUUGGUCCGGAGGAGAAGAGUCAGUAGGUUGGUUCUUUUGGACAUCGAGUGUUCCUUUGCCUCGUGAUGGAUUUCUGCCCACUGGCAAGGAAACCUUCUGUCAAUGGCAUAAUUGCAUUGAUAGGGGGACCUGAGGUGGAGUAGAUUAUUUGGUCAUAGUGUUGUUAUGAUCAUGCUGUUUGUGCUUCUUAUGGAUGAAGAAGAGAUAAUUGGAUUGGUUGCCAUUAAGUGGCUGGGAAAGUUUAUCCGUUAGUGUUUGAUAAAUCCAGCUAAUCUGUUUAUAAUAUUAUGAUCAGUUUAGCGAGUGUGGGAAAUUCUUUAUGGCAAGCAAAGGAGGGCACCGGCCACAACCAGUAAAUGAAUGUGAUAUUUAUUCAGGUAAGUUGCUGUUAGUUGCUGUUCAUGCAAGCGAAGGGUUAUCAUGCCUACAUGCAAACCUAUUGAUGGUUCUUUUGUGUAUCAUAAUACUCUCUCGAGGAAUUGUGUAGAAUCGCUAGAAUGUUUGCUAGCAUUUCUCCAAUCUCAAAAUGCUUAAGCUGCAGUAGGGCAUUGGCUAUCACUUCUUCUCCAAGCUGCUGAACUUGAGGCACUGAGAGGACACCGUGGAUGUGCAAAUCUCCGGAAAGAGGCAUUUCUUACCCUUCGAGUCCUUGUUGCCAAGAUGAGCGAGGAGCCGCAAGAGGUCGUUGGUCGAUUGAGGAAACUUUUGAGGACGUAGGGGCUUGUCGGCGGAAAGUGGGUCGAUGACUACGAUGCCAAGACUAUUCAGAUCUUUUCUUUCAACUAAGCGUUUAUGGUUUUCAAAUUAUUUGGAAUGAACGUGCACUAGUAAAGCAUGAACACAUUGAUAACCCAGAGGAGGUGGGAACACACAACUUUCUGGUUAAUGCCAAUUCAUCCCCAAUUCAAUCUGCACUCUGAAGAAACUAAUGUGAGUAAACUAUGCCACGUUUGUUGUAGCACCAGCACAUGGAAUUCUCUCUAAUAUAGGUUAGUUUGCCCAGUGUUGGUGAAUCUGAUAUAUGCAGUAAUGCUGCCUUAUAUUAAAUGCUACAAUCUAUGGAAGGAUAACACAUGGAUUAGGUAAAUAGUGAUCGACAUAAACCUUUCUGAAGCAGGAUCAAAGAUCAAUAAUUCUACCAAAUUUGGCUUUGUAAGAGUUUUAUCAGUUGGCUGGUGGCAUUAAUGCUUUCACUAUCAAGAGUUUAAAGAAACAAGGGCUCUUCCAGACAAUGACCAUUGAUGGGAACUCUUCAGAGAAAAGUAACGAGGAUAAAGUAGCUCGUCCGCAUAUAUUGCUGGAAUAGCUUAUUGCGGCUAUGCACGAAAGGUCAUAAUUUACACUAAUUCAAGCAACAUUUAGCUAUUUCUUGCAUUCUUGCCACACUUUUUAACUGGACGAGUUUGACAUGCUAUUAUCAUUUUGGAAUUCUCUACAAAUUUAAGCUAAUUCUUUGCAUGCAUACUACAUUUUAUUGUGAGAAAUUUCCUACCUAAUGCCAAGUCUGACAUGCUAUUAAGAAGUUCUUCCUCUUAAUGCUUUCAAAUUAGUCUCUUAAAUAUGAAUCAAUCUAUAAACCAUUGGAUUGUUAAAUUUAUGAGAGUGAAUUAGUUAAAUUUAAAUUUAAUAGCGGGUGGUUCACAUAUCAAUAUGCUAGCGAACUGAUAUGUAUUGCUUGAAUCGAGCAGUAUGGUAAGAAAUGUAAAUAAAUGGAUGCUACAUUGCAACAAGCAAAAAAAUCUCCCUUUGGGUUUGGGGUUUCGUUUCGGGUAAAGGG
Musa acuminata AAA Group (dessert banana) is the source of this 5194-nucleotide long non-coding RNA. RefSeq lists it as uncharacterized. The record is from RefSeq and is a predicted model, not a curated record. NCBI's taxonomy places the organism in Eukaryota, Viridiplantae, Streptophyta, Magnoliopsida, Zingiberales, Musaceae. The transcript is spliced from 11 exons.